GUGUCAGCCGCCGCGGUAAUACGUAGGGGGCGAGCGUUGUCCGGAAUGACUGGGCGUAAAGGGCGCGUAGGUGGCCUUAUAAGUUUGGAGUGAAAGUCCCGCUUUCAAGGUGGGAAUUGCUUUGAAGACUGUAGGGCUUGAGUGUGGGAGAGGAUAGCGGAAUUCCCGGUGUAGCGGUGAAAUGCGUAGAGAUCGGGAGGAACACCAGUGGCGAAGGCGGCUAUCUGGACCAAGA
This 235-nucleotide ribosomal RNA is filed under the name uncultured bacterium. Its description in RNAcentral is "partial 16S rRNA". It matches the Rfam family "Bacterial small subunit ribosomal RNA", at positions 505 to 739 of the family's 1533-position model. The record is from RNAcentral.